Molecule: ribosomal RNA, 1445 nt
Filed under: Pantoea sp.
Lineage: Bacteria; Pseudomonadati; Pseudomonadota; Gammaproteobacteria; Enterobacterales; Erwiniaceae
Description: partial 16S ribosomal RNA
Source: RNAcentral
AGGCCGCCGGGCCUACCAUGCAGUCGAACGGUAGCACAGAGGACCUUGCUCUUUGGGUGACGAGUGGCGGACGGGUGAAAAGUGUCUGGAGAUCUGCCCGGUAGAGGGAGAUAACCAGUGGAAACGGGGGCUAAUACCGUAUAGUGUCGCAAGACCAAAGGGGGGGACCUUCGGCCCUCACUCUCCCGGAUGACCCCAGAGGGGAUUCGCUAGUGGGGGGGGUAACGGCUCCCCGGGGCGACGACCCCUAGGUGGUCUGAGAGGAUGACCCCCCACUGUGGAACUGACACAGUGUCCAGACCCCUACGGGAGGCAGCAGGGGAAAAUUUUGCACAAUGGGCGCAACCCAGAUGCCCCCGCGCCGCGUGUAAAAAAAAGGCCUUCGGGUUGUAAMSUWUYYWSCGSGGRGAAGGAAGGGAUGAUYGCUUAAAUAUACRCMUCSUCWWUGACKUWCCCSSCARAARAAGCACCGGGCUAWCUYCGUUGCCMGCASCCGCGRUAAUACRGAGGGUGCAAGCKUUWWAUCRAAAUUACUGGGCGUAAAGCGCACCGCASGCGGUCUGUUAASUCAKAUGURAAAUCCSCGGUCUCAAACCCGRRAACUGCWUUUGAAWCUGGCAGGCUUGASUCUCGUAGAGGGGKGUAGAWWUUCCRKGUGUMGCKGURAWAUGCRUAGAGMUCUGGARGAAUACSGGKGGCGAAGCGCGSCCCCCGUGSAMRAAGACUSACGCUCAGGUGCGAAAGCGUGGGGAGCAAACAGGAUUAGAUACCUGGUAGUCCACGCCGUAAACGAUGUCGACUUGGAGGCUGUUCCCCUGAGGAGUGGCUUCCGGAGCUAACGCGUUAAGUCGACCGCCUGGGGAGUACGGCCGCAAGGUUAAAACUCAAAUGAAUUGACGGGGGCCCGCACAAGCGGUGGAGCAUGUGGUUUAAUUCGAUGCAACGCGAAGAACCUUACCUGGCCUUGACAUCCACGGAAUUCGGCAGAGAUGCCUUAGUGCCUUCGGGAACCGUGAGACAGGUGCUGCAUGGCUGUCGUCAGCUCGUGUUGUGAAAUGUUGGGUUAAGUCCCGCAACGAGCGCAACCCUUAUCCUUUGUUGCCAGCGAUUCGGUCGGGAACUCAAAGGAGACUGCCGGUGAUAAACCGGAGGAAGGUGGGGAUGACGUCAAGUCAUCAUGGCCCUUACGGCCAGGGCUACACACGUGCUACAAUGGCGCAUACAAAGAGAAGCGACCUCGCGAGAGCAAGCGGACCUCAUAAAGUGCGUCGUAGUCCGGAUCGGAGUCUGCAACUCGACUCCGUGAAGUCGGAAUCGCUAGUAAUCGUGGAUCAGAAUGCCACGGUGAAUACGUUCCCGGGCCUUGUACACACCGCCCGUCACACCAUGGGAGUGGGUUGCAAAAGAAGUAGGUAGCUUAACCUUCGGGAGGGCGCUACCAACCU